AAGUAAAAAAAAUUCAAAAAUAUAAAAAAAUUCAGAAAAAAAAGUGAAGUGUCGAAAGUUUGGUAAGUUCUUGAUUAAUUUGCAUUUCUCUUCUACUAAUCCCGAUCAUCGAGAUCAUUCUACCAUUUUGUCUACCCCAAAAUGCCACACUUAAACCAGUUUAAUUCUUUAUUUCAGCCUACCUUAUACACCUAACGAUCUCCUUUGCACCCUU
Molecule: long non-coding RNA, 214 nt
Filed under: Gossypium raimondii (Peruvian cotton)
Lineage: Eukaryota; Viridiplantae; Streptophyta; Magnoliopsida; Malvales; Malvaceae
Description: long non-coding RNA (GRAI_LNC001969)
Source: RNAcentral